CGGGUACAGAGCCAUCGCUUCGGCGCAACUCUUGUCAUGGUCGCGCGAAUAUUCACCCAUGUUUUUGCGUACUUCUUGUUUCCUUGGUGGGCUCGCCCGCCAUUGGACAACCAUUAAACCUUUUGUAAUUGCAGUCAGCGUCAGUAAAAUGUAAUCGUUACAACUUUCAACAACGGAUCUCUUGGUUCUGGCAUCGAUGAAGAACGCAGCGAAAUGCGAUAAGUAGUGUGAAUUGCAGAAUUCAGUGAAUCAUCGAAUCUUUGAACGCACAUUGCGCCCAUGGUAUUCCAAUGGGCAUGCCUGUUCGAGCGUCAUUUGUACCCUCAAGCUUUGCUUGGUGUUGGGCGUUUGUCUUUCGAGACUCGCCUUAAAAAGAUUGGCAGCCGGCAUACUGGUUUCGGAGCGCAGCACAAAUUGCGGUCUGUUCCUGAAUGUUGACGUCCAUGAAGCCCCCAUUAUCACUUUUGACCUCGGAUCAGGUAGGGAUACCCGCUGAACUUAAGCAUAUCAAUAAGCGGAGGAA
This 523-nucleotide ribosomal RNA is filed under the name uncultured fungus. RNAcentral's name for it is "eukaryotic LSU rRNA". The stretch from base 162 to 314 matches the Rfam family "5.8S ribosomal RNA". Lineage: Eukaryota; Fungi. The record is from RNAcentral.